GACGAACGCUGGCGGCGUGCCUAAUACAUGCAAGUCGAGCGGACUUUCCCGACUGCUUUCACUCCGGAGGGUUAGCGGCGGGUGGGUGACUAACACGUAGGCAACCCGUCCAUAAGACCGGGAUACCAUUCGGUAACGAAUGCUAAUACCGGGUAGUCGGACCUCUCGCUUGAGGGGGUCGGGUAAGGCGGAGCAAUCUGCCGCUCACGGAUGGGCCUGCGGUGCGUGAGCUGGUUGGUGGGGUAACGGCCUACCAAGGCGACGAUGCGUAGCCGACCUGGGAGGGUGAUCGGCCACACGGGGACUGAGACACGGCCCAGACUCCUACGGGAGGCAGCAGUAGGGAAUCUUACGCAAUGGACGCAAGUCUGACGGAGCAACGCCGCGUGAGAGAGGAAGGCCUUCGGGUCGUAAAGCUCUGUUGCCAGGGAAGAACGGGUAGGGGAGUAACUGCCCUUGGCGUGACGGUACCUGGGAAGAAAGCCCCGGCUAACUACGUG
This 500-nucleotide ribosomal RNA is filed under the name uncultured bacterium. Its description in RNAcentral is "partial 16S ribosomal RNA". It matches the Rfam family "Bacterial small subunit ribosomal RNA", at positions 28 to 507 of the family's 1533-position model. The record is from RNAcentral.